Molecule: ribosomal RNA, 496 nt
Filed under: uncultured bacterium
Lineage: Bacteria
Description: partial 16S ribosomal RNA
Rfam family: Bacterial small subunit ribosomal RNA
Source: RNAcentral
GAUGAACGCUAACGGCAGGCCUAAUACAUGCAAGUCGAGGGGUAGAAGAGGCUUGCUUCUUUGAGACCGGCGCACGGGUGCGUGACGCGUAUGCAACCUACCUUCAUCUGCGGGAUAGCCCGCAGAAAUCCGGGGUAAUACCGCAUAAAACCACAGGAUCGCCUUAUGCGCAGAACAAACAAUUACGGGAGUGAGAUGGGCAUGCGUGUCAUGAGCUAGUUGGCGGGGUAACGGCCCACCAAGGCGACGAUGACUAGGGGAUCUGAGAGGAUGGCCCCCCACACUGGUACUGAGACACGGACCAGACUCCUACGGGAGGCAGCAGUAAGGAAUAUUGGUCAAUGGAGGCAACUCUGAACCAGCCAUGCCGCGUGCAGGAAGACUGCCCUAUGGGUUGUAAACUGCUUUUAUUCGGGAAUAAACCUUAUUACGUGUAAUAAGCUGAAUGUACCGAAGGAAUAAGGAUCGGCUAACUCCGUGCCAGCAGCCGCGGUAA